This 287-nucleotide ribosomal RNA is filed under the name uncultured bacterium. RNAcentral describes it as "partial 16S ribosomal RNA". It matches the Rfam family "Bacterial small subunit ribosomal RNA", at positions 775 to 1066 of the family's 1533-position model. The record is from RNAcentral.
GGAUUAGAUACCCUGGUAGUCCACACUGUAAACGAUGAAUGCUAAGUAUUGGGGCAACUCAGUGCUGAAGCUAACGCGUUAAGCAUUCCGCCUGGGGAGUACGGUCGCAAGACUAAAACUCAAAGGAAUUGACGGGGACCCGCACAAGCGGUGGAACAUGCUGUUUAAUUCGAUACUACGCGAAGAACCUUACCAGUUCUUGACAUCUGGAUCGCGAUCUCAGAGAUGAGAUUUUCAGUUAGGCUGGAUCCAAGACAGGUAUUGCAUGGCUGUCGUCAGCUCGUGCC